CUCUGUUUUGAAAACAACAACAAUAAUAAUAACUUUAUGAUGGAAUGUGCAUAUAAACUCAGCCAGAGGAGAUAGUGAAGAAAAUUUUCUGUCAGAUAAAAAAAAGUCAAUUAUUGUAACUUUGCUACAUACAAUUUAGUAAGUAUAAGAUUUUAUAUCAGUAUUUCUAUGAUACCAUAUGCAGUAGAGUUUCUCUAGACAUAUUUACAUUUUCAGUUUACAAUCAAAAUUUUAAUUUUUCAAAUUUUGAACAUUUUUAAAUCAAAGUGAGAGAGUACAUGUUUUAAAUUCAUUUUAUAGAGAUAGUAUUUAGUAGUACUAAAUGCCUAUCAUGAAGUUUGGAGAGUAAAGCAAGAGUCAUACCAACACAACUUGAACAGGUGAGAAUAAUGAUUUAGUGUAAAGUGGGAGCUACUUAGAAAGUACUAACAAAAUUAUUUCCCCAAGCAGUGUUGCUACUAAAGCCAUGAGACAUGAAAAGAAACAAGGAAGAUAUCACUGGUGUAUAAACUGUAGUCUCCAAAUACCCUGUGUGCUACUAGUAUUUUAUAUAUAGCCUUCUUUGUACUGAAGUUGGAGUCAUGUGACUACUACCAAUCAACAGGCUCUGAGCAAAAUAGACUAUUAUUUUGUAUACCCAAGAAUCUUGAAAUCCACUGGUGCAGAUAGAAUAGCUAUAAAACCAUACUAGAUAGUAGAGGAUAUCCCAAAGCUAUGUAUGGUAGAUCUCUAUUAUGUUAAAGCUGUGAGAUUAUGAGCUUAACUUAUUACUGAAUAUAACCUAUUCUGACUGGAACAAUCUGAAAAUAGGUUGGACUGACAAGAGGAGAAGAUAAAUAAGAUAAGUGGGUAAAGUCAUUUAAAAUUUACAGCAGAUCAUUAUGGAAGAGACCAUAAGGAAAGCAAAGGUCAUUUCUCAAGUUCUUUCAUUACAUUUUGCUUCAGUUAGAAAAUUUCCUUAUUAACAUUCAGUUGGACUUGAAUAUGUAGUUGAUGACAAAUAAUAAAAUAUAAAAAACUUAAUUUCUUAAUACAAUACUUAUGGGAAAGAUACUCUCACCAAAGUUAAUACCAAAACUCAUUUUUACUUUUACAAAUUGUAUCAAAUUAUAGUAAGAGACAUUACAAUACUAGAUUAAAUGUAAAUGAAGCAAAUCAUGCUGAAGCUUUGUGAUGCGUGGAAUGAGUUUGUUAUAAUGAUUCAUUUUUCCCAUACUUUACUAGGAAUAAUUAAAAGCCUGUUUGCUGAAUGUAAAGGGGGUAAACAAGCUUUUUCAUCCAAAGAGCUUCCUUGCUUAGAAACAUGUUUUUCACCUAAGACAGAUGCAGAUACAGCCAACCAUUGGACUGAGCCCGGGGAACCCAAUGGAAGAGUUAGGGGAAGGGCAGGAGGAGCUGAAGAGGAUUGCAACCCCAUAGGAAGAACAACAAUACCAACUAAGCAGACCUCUCAGAGCUCCCAGGGACUAAACCGUCAAUAAAGAGUAUACAUGGGCUUGCUACAUAUGUAGUAGAGGUCUGGGCAUCAGUGUGAGGGGAGGUGCUCAGUCCUGUGGAGGCUUGAUGCCCCAGCAAAGAGGCAUGCUAGAGGGGUGACGCAAGAGUAGGUGGGUGGGUGGAGGAACACAUUCUUAGAGGGAAAGGGGUGGGGCAUGGGUGAGGAGUUCGUGGAAGGGAGACCAGGAAAGAGAGUAACAUUUGAAAUGUAAACAAAUUGAUUAAUAAACAUGUUUUUCUUUAAAAUACUGUUGCAAACAUAACAGAUAACAGGUAAGUUUAUAGUCGACUUUUUUUGAAGACAGAUUUAAAGUCAAAAUAUGUCUUAUAUAAACAACAUAUAUGUUGUAACUGUAGAGUAGACCAAUGAUGUAACUAUAGAGUAGACCAAUCAGAAUAUAGGUUAGGUAUAUUAGAGAACCUAUACGAUUUAAUCUGUAUGUAAUUGGUGUAUAAGUUUGGGCUGCUAAAUCUCUAAGAACAAUGGCUCUCUGCAUUUCAGAGGUACACAAAACUGAGCUCAAACUACCAGCUGCUGACCACUGGUGGUAUUCCUAUCUUCAACAAAGAAAAAGGCAAGGACAUCUGUACAUGGACACCACUUGGGCUGCGUAAAAACAGUACAUCUUCCAAAUGGUGGCCUAUGCCUUACAAUUCUAUGCUUGCUUGCUUGUAGUCAAUGCUUAACUUGUCGGAAAUACUACAAGGUUCUUUUCUUAAAAUGUUAGUAUGGAGGUGUUUGCCUGCAUGUAUGCAUGUAUAGCACAUCCACACUCAGUACCAUGGGAACCCAGGUCACCGGCCCCAGCACUGUACUUACAGAGCUGGGUGCUGAGGGAAAAACCCGGGCCCUCUAUAAAAGCAGCAUGUGCUCUUAACCCACUGUGCCACCUCGUAAGUUCCAGCCUAAAUACUUGAACCUAGAGUCUAGAUUCUUGUCUUUGAAGUAUAGUUACUGAAAUAAGAACUUUCCAGAAUGACAUCUUAGAUUUCCAAGGCUUAAAGAGAGACAUGUUUAAUGUAAUCUUUCCUUUAACACAGGUUUUGUUAGUUCACCAUACAGCAAAUUGAUGACUAAUCAAGACACAAGGUCUAGUUGUAAGAAAUGAAUGUUAAAAAAAAAAAAAAAAGAAAGAUUGGUCCUAGAAAAAUAAACUGAUCAACCUUCUCAACUGGUAUUUGCUCACCUAGGACAACCUUUCUACCCUAGAAUUGGGUUCCUUUAGAUCAGAGGUUAGCAAACUUUAUCUCUGCAGACACAUAUAACAAAUGCUUUAGGUUUUGUGGUCAGAGGAUCUCUGUAACUAUUCAACUCUGCCUUUGAAAUAUGAGAGUGGCUAUAGGCCAUACACACCACGGGGUGGCUGUGUUCCAAUGUAACUAUUUUCAAGACAGGAACUAAAUCCCAUUUGGUUCAUGAGUCUGCUUGCCAACACCUGCUGAAGAUUAUUUUCUCAUAUGCACCUUCUGCUUUGCAAAGGAUUAUGCAGAGUUCCGUUAAUAACAUGCCUGUGCAAAUAGCAUGUCCACAUUUAACUGGGCUAUAGCUUCCUGGUGUAACUUCUUUAUCAACUCUAACUUACUGGAAAUAUUUCAUUUCCAAUUUACACAUGAUUCGACAGACAAAUGAUAAACAGCCUAAAGUAUGUGUCUAUGUAACAUUGCAUUCUGAGUAGGUUUUGUUUUAUCUUGAAACACUGCCUAUGUAACUCAGGCUGAUAUGUUGUCAGUUAUAAGUGGGUUUGAAAUUUGUCAAAUUACUUUUGAUGUUAAUUUAUUUAAAGUUUGAAUGUUAAUGAUGUGUGUGCUCAUGAUUAAAUUAUUAUGCCCAAUUCUAUGUGACAUUUGUUAUGAAUGCUCUGAUGGCUAGUGUGAAAGGAGCUGCGUUUCUCCUGCUUUCUUCUAUGUUUGUCCAGUGUCAGACUCACGCUAAUGCUGGCCUCAGAGUAAACUAGCAAGAAUUUUUUCUCUUUUACUCUAUCAAAGAGUUUUUAAUAUAAUUGGAAUUAUUUACACACGUUUCAAAAAUAAUCAGUGAAAAUAGCUAGGCUGGAAAUUACAUCUGGAAAGAUUAUCAAUUUAAUGUUUCUAAAUGAUAUAACAUCUAUCAUGUCUUUUAUUUCUUUAGCAAUAUUUGAUAAAUUUUGUUAUAAAUCAUAAGACUAUUUGGUUCAAAUAUUUUCAUUGAUAAGCACAUAAUCACUCAUAAUAUUCCAUUAUUGUUUUAGUAAUAUGACAUCUUUAGUUCUAUUUUUGGUCAUUUUCUUCUAAUCAUCCUAGAUAUGUUUAUCAACUCUGUCAGAACAAAGACUUGUGGCUUGUUAUUCCUUGAUUUCUACGGUUUUCUCCCUUUUUAUUUCAUAUUUUAUUUGCUACAGGUCUUAGUGAACACAGACCAAAGAUUUUAUACCAUUCUUUCCUACAUAUACAUUCAGAGCCAAACAAAUUCCUAUCAGCAUCACUUCAGUAAUUUACUAAAUGGAAUUAAAAUAACAGCAUAAAUAUACAAGGUUUGAUGUCCUUACAAAAGAGGCUGUGGACUUGUUGACUCCCAGGACCAUGUGAGAAACUAGAUAGAAGAUAAUGUCAAGUUUGAAGACAUUUCCAAGAAUUGAAUCUGCAAGUUCGCCCUGAAAACGCCCUACCUUCCAGAACUACAAAUCAUGUUUCUAUGAUUCAUAAUUUCCUGGUCUGUUUUCUUGAACCAGUCUGAACAAUAAGUAUCCUUGUCUUGUUUCUUAUCUUAAAAGGAAGGCUUUCAAGUUUGCUAUUACUAAGAGAUUAUCUGGGAAUCUUUUAAGGUACAUUCCUUUUAUAACUGUUGGUAAUUUCAACAACAAAAAAAAGGAUAUUGAUUUUUUCCUUGUAUUGAUGAUCAUGUAAAGAACAGGUUAGACUUCACCACAGAGAUCCACCUGCCUUGCCUCUCAAGUGCUCAGAUUAAAGGUGUACUCCACCAUCACCUGGUUGGUUCUUGCUUUUUGAUAAGAUAUUUGUUGUCAUCUCCUUGCUCAACAUUGGCAGGUUUAAUUUUUAACUAUUUUAUUAUCUUGGUAUUGUGUGUAUAUAUUAUAUUUUUCUAGGUUAUCAAGUUUGUUGGAGUACAAAUAUUCCUAAUAGAACACUAUAAUCUAUAUUUGUUUGGCCACUUCUAUUUUCUUACUUCCGAUAAGUCUAUGAUUCUUAGUCUAAUUGAAGAUUUGUUUAUCUUGGCAAAAAUUUGGUCUCAUUGAUAUUUUCAGUAGCUUUCUUGUUCUCUACUGAAUUCUUUUCUAUGCCAAUCUUUCUUUACACUUAGGACUUCAUUCUUUUCUAUUUUCCUUACUCGUAACACUAUUUCACAUAGUUCUUAUUAUGUAGGUUUUCCUAUACACUUCCUUAUUAAUAACAGCUUUUGCUACAUUGUGUUUUGAUAAUGUUGUUUUCCACUUGAACUUCUCUUGAGAUUAUUUUAUACUUUCUCUUUAUUCAUUGAUCCAUUGGCUUUUCUGAAAAACUCUUUAAUUUCUAUUUGUUAAUUUUCCCAAACUUUUUACUCAUUUUUAGUUUCAUUUUUAAAUGUAAAAGUUUCCUGAUGCAAAUUUGUUGUUUGGUUGGUUUUUAUUAUUCUUUUGUACUACAAAAGUGUGACUUCGGGCAUAUGCAUGCCAUGUACAGAAGUGGAGACCCAAGACAAUGUGCAGAAGGCAGGAAUCUGUUCUCUUCCUCACUGUGAGUUCGAGAGACUGAACUCAUGUGAGGCUUGCAUGGCAAGCACUCUUACCCAGUAAAGCCAUCUCACUGGCCCUACAGAUAUAAUUUCAAUCUUUAAUUUGUUAAGAUUUAUUCUGUGUCCUACCUAUAAUGUGUUCUAACAAAUGUUAUAUGAGUACCUCAAAAUAAUCUAUAUUCUACUGCUAUUGGAUAGAUGCCCUAUAUGUUAGGCCCAUUUGAUCCAAAGAGUAGCCCAAGUCCAGUGUUGGGUUUUAGAUAGCCUAUUGAGUGGUUUACCUAUUGCUGAAUGUGACUUACGAAAACCUAUUUGUUACUGAGUUAGUAUGUCUUGUCAGAUAUAUUCAAAUCUGUUUCAUAAGCACAGGUAUGGAAGUGCACACCAGCAAUCCCAGCACUUAGGAGAUAAAUGCAGGGGGAUACUGAAUAUGAUGUCAGCUGUACACUAAGUUCCACACCAGCUUGGGCUACAUAGGGAGCUCCAGUCUCAUUUUUUCUCCUUCUAAAUUACUUACCACAAUGUUGGGUAUAUGUAUAUUUAUAAUCUUAGAUCUCUUGAUAAACUAUUUACCAAUUAUAAUAACCUACUUUGUUUUACAGUGUUUCAUUUAUCUGGAUUUUCCUGCUCUAAGUAUACCUAACUCCUGUUCUCUUUUUGUUUCUAUAUGCAUGGAAUAUCUUUUUAUUUUUAAUUCCCUGUACUUUGUCUCCUGUUAAAGCAGAAAUAUCCUACUGGAGAACAUAUAAUUGGGCCUUUGUUUUUCCCCAAUCCACUCAGCAAUUCUUAAGAAUUUUAUCUUUUCAUUCAAGAUACUGAAUUAACUAUUAAUAGGUACAGAUUUCUUAGUGCUACUUUUAUUAUUGCUAUUUUUAAAAUGUAGUCUAUUUGUUCCUUCUUCAAGACCUAGUGAUUUUGUUAUGCUUUGAUUACUUACUCCUUUCUGCAGUUAACAUGAUAUUAUAUAUUGGUAUAAUAAAUAAUAUGUGGUAACUAUGAGACAUGAAAACAAUUCAGCUAUGAGUCUACUUUAAACUGGCAGCAAAUAUACUGUAGUGAAGUAGCUGACACUUGGUACCCUGUAAAGAAAAGAGAUCUAUUUAGCUGAUGGUUUGGAUGAAAGUCAAAGACUGACAGCCCAGUCAGUGCAACCCCUUUCUGUCUGCCUUCUGGUGAAGAAUUCCUGGCUAUAUUAUGCCAAAUGGCAUCAUUAUGGAAGUGAUGAAGUCAGGUAUCAUUUGGUGAGAUUCAAAGCCAGAGAAAAAAAUGGGGGGCCACUCUUACCAUUUUACAGCAACCUACAUAAGAACCACCUUAGGGCAUCAUCACAGUGGCCUCCUUGUAAGAUCCCUCUCAAAGCUCGCACAUUCUCUCAGCUGCUACACUCGGAACACACAUUCUUUGGGGAACAUAGUCAAAUUCUACCUAACCCAUAGAAAUAACCUCAAAUUGCAUACAAAAACUCUCUACUUUCACUCCUCUCCCAUUUCAUGACUUGCUAUCACUAUUACACUUUUUCAUUCGGUAACCACUAAAAACUCAUAUUAAAAUCACUUCUUUUAGCCUUCACAGUAAAGACUUAAGUUAUUUAUACAUCACUAUUACAGAGCACUCAAGUCUAUCAGUCUUCUGACUUGACUACUUACCUAUACCACCAACUUUAUUUUCAUGUUUGGUUAUUAACUUUCAGCUUGAAAAUUCCAUUUGUGAUUAUAUAUGUGUGUGUGUGUGCGCGCUACAUAUGUCUAUAUAUACAUAUAUGUGUAUAUAUACAUUAUGUGUGUAUAUAUACAUAUACAUAUGUGUGUGUGUAUAUAUAUAUGUAUGUAUGUAUGCAUAUAUAUUGAAGGAUAGCUUUGCUGGGGUAUUCUUGGCUACAAGCUUAUUUUUCUUCGAACACUUUGUCAUUUCAUACUUUUCUGACCUUGAAAGCUUUCCGGGCUCUGAUGACAGCCACUCUCUUCUAUAUGCACUCUCUUCUUUUGCCACACUCAAGCCCCUGCCAGUGAUUCACUGCUUUUCAUUUAGUAUGUAUGUAUCAUGGGUGGGUGUUCACAUGCCACAAGACAAGUGUGGUGGUCAGAAUGCUGACUGUUGGAGUCCGCUCGCUCGCUCACUCGCUCGCUCUCUUUCUCUCACAAAGACUCCAGGAAUCACUGAGGUCCUUCUUCCCUGCAAAGCCAUCUCACUAGCCUGCCGGUAGUGUCUGAGCUUGUCUUUGUGUAGUGCUUUUACAAUUGGAAACUCUUGAUUCUCCUGUACUUGAUAGACGCUUUCUAAGAUACAAUUAGUUUUCAGUCAUUAUUUCCUUAAAAACUUUCCCCACCUCUUCUGUAAUUACUGACUACAGACUAGCACUACUGGGAAAACCCAUUACGUUUUCUAGGUUUUCUUCUUUAAAGUUUCUUCUCUAACUGGAUUUUUCCAAGUCACCUUUCAUUUCAAGAUCUCUUCUGUUUGAGCACAUCACCUGAUGCCCUCUGGUGCACUUUUCAUUCCUUUCACUGUAUUGCUCAGUUCAUUAUUUCAGUCUCUCUCUUAUCACUCUCCUGAUUUUAUUGUCCAUACUCUCUCAUAGUUUGCUAAGGUUCCCUAAAACGAUUCUUUCCCAGGCACUUAAUCCAUAGAAAUUCUUAUUCUUUGAGGUCAGUUACUGGAAAACUAUUUUGCCUCCCUCUUUGAUAAUGUGUGUGUUUAUUUCUAUUUCUACAAUUGUUUUCAUGCUUCUUGUUUUGCAUAACAUAUUCAGUGGCUGUGUUCUCCUCUUUAGGAAUCGGUAUCAGUGGGGACAACACUGUCUGCCAGCAAGGCUAAGUGCACUGCUGAGACAUUCAGCUGUGUUGCCUGAGGCAGAUUGGCAGAGUACACAGCUUCUCAACAUCUCAGGUUAGGUGUCCCUGAAGUAGCAAGAGCUGCUGUGCUCUUCAAUAGGAUGACUGACAGGGGGUCUUUAUGGUCUCUCAUCUACAUGAAAGUCCUAGUUGAACUCUUGCUUGGAACUGGAUCUGGCACACAGAUGCCCUUUCAGGAAUGGUGUCAGGAUGUGUGAAGCAUGACAUGUGCAAAGUAGCCACAGAUCGGAUACAUGAGCAUGGCCAUGUGUUGGAGUAAUGGUUUAAGGGAAACAGGAUAGCAACAACUAUCUCCCAUGAUUAUUGACAGAACUAAAAUAACCAGCAAAAUGGCAGCCUGGAAGAUAAAUUGUGCUUAGUGACUAUCCUAGUUCCCACAUCCAAGCAAAUUUCAGUUAUAGUGACAUCAUAACACCAAGAGACUGGAAUGCUUGCUUUGUUUCACAUUUUACUCAUUAUAAAAACAAAUGUACUAGUUCUAUAUUAAGUAAUAAAAACAACUUUGUUUCUAAUUCUAUAAUAAUGAUCCAUUUUGGGAAAUUUAAAAAAAACAGCAGACUAUUUUCAACUUAAUGUCACAGUUAUAUUCAGGCAAGUGUAUCAAUUAACGAACAUUAUUAGACCCCAAGAAAUUUCAAACUAUGUUCCAUGUGACUAUUAAAUUGAAAACUCAGUUCUUCUUAGCAGUUCAUCAGGUCCUGCAGAUGAAAUAAAUGUUUUCUAUUUAUUUUGUUACAGUUCCAGGUAGAAUAGAGACUAUGCAUUGAAACACAAAACCCAAGUGGGUCAGAGGCACAAGCAAGACCAUAAAGAGUUCAAGAGCACCCUUGGGCCCACAGUGAGUCUAAGUCCGGCCUGGGCUAUCUAAAAGCAAUCUCUACCUUCUAUCAAGCAGCAUAACCUGUACUACCAAAUCCACAAAGCCAGUGAGGAGAUCCCAUGUGAUUUCCUAAGGGUCCAGGCUUAUUUGCAUAGCAUUUACAUUGUUUUAAGUAUAAUCCUAGAUGGUCUAAGUACACGAGAAUAGUGUCAUAGGUUCACGUACUAUGCAAUCUUAUAAAACAGAAUCAAACAAACCUUGUGAAAUGAAGUAUGUACAGAAGAUCCUGAGGCUAACGCUUGGCAUAUCUGAAAAGUCACACAUAAGACUUAAGAAAUAAAACAUUUUAAGGUAC
Molecule: long non-coding RNA, 9233 nt
Organism: Mus musculus (house mouse)
Lineage: Eukaryota; Metazoa; Chordata; Mammalia; Rodentia; Muridae
Product: predicted gene, 46093
Exons: 2
Source: RefSeq, a predicted model, not a curated record